RNAcentral lists this long non-coding RNA (1030 nucleotides) under Cyanistes caeruleus (blue tit). RNAcentral's name for it is "lncRNA (ENSCCEG00000014013.1)". Lineage: Eukaryota; Metazoa; Chordata; Aves; Passeriformes; Paridae. The record is from RNAcentral.
AAAAGGUGUCUUUUAAAAAAUGUUUUUCAGCCAAUGGUCUGUGAACCAUAUCUCAGAAACCCAUGGCAGGUAAAGAUGAAAAGCAAGCAUUUUGCCUUGGGCUUCAUUUUGCUAUUCAAAGGUCUACAUAUCUGCUGGAAAAUAUUUAGGGAUCUGUGAAUUGAAAACAGUUGAAAAUCACUGACCUGAAAAUAUAUUUCCUUGUUUUCAGACAACCAGUGAGACUGAGUUAGCAGAACAUUUCUCUAUGGUGAUGUUGAUGACUUUCCCUCCUACCCCCAUCCUACUAAUGGAUCACAUGAUUUGUAACUAGAAUAUAGCCUUUCAUUUCUUAUGGUCCUUCUGUAAUGAGAUCUUUCUCUGUUGAAACAUCAGCACAGAGCUUUCCUAGACUGCUUGUACAAUUAUCCAGUGCACUGCAAAUUUAAAUGCAAAUGAAAAGUUCAAUUAGUUUAAAAAAAAAUCAUGUUUUCCACUUAAUUUUAAAUGAUCAGUCUUGCCAAAGAGAUUUCCCAUUAUAAUUAAGAUGUCUUACAGUUCUGGGAUCAAGGUUUAUUUCUAUUUAUGCUCAAAAAACCCCCAGUUGAGUACUGUAAAUGGAACAGAUGCGUCUACACUAGAUGUCAUAAUUAUCCGUGACAGUGUAGCCUGCCUUUGGAAUGCAUGUGCUACAGGCACAGCAUUCGAGUAUUCCAGACCUCUGACCUUAAGCAGAUGCCAUUAUUUUAGUCAUAUGGACAAGCCAGAAGGAAGGUUGGGGUAGGGAGUGAAAUACCAAAGAUCUGAAGAAGGGUCUGUCAUAACCACAAGAAGAUAACAAUUCUUGAAAUCCUGAGAGCUGCAAAAACUAGCAAAAAGACCACACCAAAAAAAAACCUCACCAAAAAGAAGAUAGUAAAGCCUUCAGUGAAGACAGGAAUUUGUGCAAGAAAUAGAAGCCAGACUGCAAGAGGUUAAACAAUGAAAAUUGAGGGUUUGAAACAGUAUUUGUAAAAAUGCUUGUGGGAAGUGGGGUAUCUGGACAGUUCCC